This 367-nucleotide unclassified non-coding RNA is filed under the name uncultured bacterium. Its description in RNAcentral is "contains 16S-23S intergenic spacer region". The record is from RNAcentral.
UCCGAUUUGUCACCGGCAGUCUCCCUAGAGUGCCCUUGCGUAGCAACUAGGGACAAGGGUUGCGCUCGUUGCGGGACUUAACCCAACACCUCACGGCACGAGCUGACGACAGCCAUGCACCACCUGUGAAGGUGCCCCGAAGGGAGACCGUGUUUCCACGGCUGUCACCAACAUGUCAAGCCCAGGUAAGGUUCCUCGCGUAGCGUCGAAUUGAACCACAUGUUCCACCGCUUGUGCGGGCCCCCGUCAAUUCCUUUGAGAUUCAAUCUUGCGAUCGUACUUCCCAGGUGGAUUACUUAAUGCUUUCGCUCAGACACCAACAGUGUAUCGCUGAUGUCGAGUAAUCAUCGUUUAGGGCGUGGACUAC